AUUGAACGCUGGCGGAAUGCUUUACACAUGCAAGUCGAGCGGCAGCGCGGGGGCAACCCUGGCGGCGAGCGGCGAACGGGUGAGUAAUGCAUCGGAACGUACCCAGUCGUGGGGGAUAACGUGGCGAAAGUCACGCUAAUACCGCAUACGUCCUGAGGGAGAAAGCAGGGGAUCGCAAGACCUUGCGCGAUUGGAGCGGCCGAUGUCUGAUUAGCUAGUUGGUGGGGUAAAGGCCUACCAAGGCGACGAUCAGUAGCUGGUCUGAGAGGACGAUCAGCCACACUGGGACUGAGACACGGCCCAGACUCCUACGGGAGGCAGCAGUGGGGAAUUUUGGACAAUGGGCGAAAGCCUGAUCCAGCCAUUCCGCGUGAGUGAAGAAGGCCUGGUGUAAG
This 395-nucleotide ribosomal RNA is filed under the name uncultured bacterium. Its description in RNAcentral is "bacterial SSU rRNA". It matches the Rfam family "Bacterial small subunit ribosomal RNA", at positions 29 to 429 of the family's 1533-position model. The record is from RNAcentral.